UACGUAUGGGGCAAGCGUUAUCCGGAUUUACUGGGUGUAAAGGGAGCGUAGGCGGCCUGGCAAGCCUGAUGUGAAAUACCGGGGCCCAACCCCGGGGCUGCAUUGGGAACUGCCAGGCUGGAGUGCCGGAGAGGCAGGCGGAAUUCCUAGUGUAGCGGUGAAAUGCGUAGAUAUUAGGAAGAACACCAGUGGCGAAGGCGGCCUGCUGGACGGUGACUGACGCUGAGGCUCGAAAGCGUGGGGAGCAAACAGG
This 253-nucleotide ribosomal RNA is filed under the name uncultured bacterium. RNAcentral describes it as "partial 16S ribosomal RNA". It matches the Rfam family "Bacterial small subunit ribosomal RNA", at positions 524 to 776 of the family's 1533-position model. The record is from RNAcentral.